RNAcentral lists this long non-coding RNA (1737 nucleotides) under Salmo salar (Atlantic salmon). Its description in RNAcentral is "lncRNA (ENSSSAG00000104316.1)". The record is from RNAcentral. Lineage: Eukaryota; Metazoa; Chordata; Actinopteri; Salmoniformes; Salmonidae.
CGUGUGAAUGUUUUUACAGAAUUUUGUGACACAAGCUCACAUGAAUAAUCAAUUCCUGUCAUUAUUAUUUUAUAAUUUUGAUAUGUGGAACAUGAAUAUAUGCCUGAGCCUAAAGGACAUUCCCUGGACUCUUUAUUCCAUCAACAUUAGUGCCUGGAACUCACUUCCAUAUGCAGCCUCUCCUCCUGUGUAGCUAACAAUGUCACCUCCAUGGGUAUCUCAGUGAGUAGGUAAACAACCAAAUCUAAAUGCUAUCUUAGCCUUUGAUGAGUCACAGACCCCUUGCAGUGUGUCAUUUGGGGUGGGGGGCAUGUCCUACGAAAAAUCUCAAAUGGUAUUUUAUUAGUUCAUUACCUUUAACCAGGCCAGGUAUGGGGGCAAGGGGGCUUGAUGAAGGGUUGUUGGGCCAAGCCAGGCCAGGGUUGGGCUCUUGUGGGGGCUAAUGCCCCUCAGUGGUGGAGGGGGACCAGGUCUUUGUCCCAGUGGAGGGGAUUACACCGGCGGGGCGGCCCUAACAAUGUCUCCCCUCCUGGGAGGGCUGGGCAAACCUGCUCCCCCCAAUGACGGGUGUGGUCAACUGCUCACUGACUCAGUUAAACACAGUGAGAGAGAGGAGGAGAAGAGAGGGAUAGGAGGAGGAGAUGAAUGGAGGGGAGAGAGAAGAAUGAGCAGCAUGGAGUGAUACUCAACAAGGGUAACAGGGUAACAGAGAAGGAGAAAGUGGAGAGGAGAGGAUGGAGGUUGGAGAAGAAGAGGGUGGAGGUUGGAGGAGGAGAGGGUGGAGGUUGGAGGAGGAGAGGAUGGAGGUUGGAGGGGGAACGAGUUAAGGUUGGAGGAGGAGAGGAUGGGGUAGGAGGAGGAGAGGAUGGAGGUUGGAGGAGGAGAGGAUGGAGGUUGGAGGAGGAGAGGAUUAAGGUAGGAGGAGGAGAGGAUGGAGGUAGGAGGGAGAGCGAGUUAAGGUUGGAGGAGGAGAGGAUGGAGGUUGGAGGAGGAGAGGAUGGAAGUUGGAGGAGGAGAGGAUGGAGGUUGGAGGGAGAGCGAGUUAAGGUUGGAGGAGGAAAGGAUGGAGGUUGGAGGAGGAGAGGAUGGAAGUUGGAGGAGGAGAGGGUGGAGGUUGGAGGAGGAGAGGAUGGAGGUUGGAGGAGGAGAGGAUGGAGGUUGGAGGUUGGAGGAGGAGAGGAUGGAGGUUGGAGGAGGAGAGGAUGGAGGUUGGAGGAGGAGAGGAUGGAGGUUGGAGGAGGAGAGGAUGGAGGUUGGAGGAGGAGAGGAUGGAGGUUGGAGGGAGAGCGAGUUAAGGUUGGAGGAGGAGAGGAUGGCGGUAGGAGGAGGAGAGGAUGGAGGUUGGAGGAGGAGAGGAUGGAGGUAGGAGGAGGAGAGGAUGGAGGUUGGAGGAGGAGAGGAUGGAGGUAGGAGGAGGAGAGGAUGGAGGUUCGAGGAGGAGAGGAUGGAAGUAGGAGGAGGAGAGGAUGGAGAUAGGAGGAGGAGAGGAUGGAGGUAGGAGGGGGAGAGGGUGGAGGUUGGAGGAGGAGAGGAUGGAAGUAGGAGGAGGAGAGGAUGGAGGUAGGAGGAGGAGAGGAUGGAGGUAGGAGGAGGAGAGGGUGGAGGUAGGAGGGGGAGAGGGUGGAGGUUGGAGGAGGAGAGUAUUAAGGUAGGAGGAGGAGAGGAUGGAGGUAGGAGGAAGAGAGGGUGAAAGGAUCAGGUGUGGUAGGAGGAGGAGAGGGUGAAAGGAUCAGGUGU